GCUUCUGGCCACACCCGCCGGUUCACGCCCGAUCUCGUUUGAUCUCGGAAGCUAAGAUAGGUUGGGCCUGGUUAGUACUUGGAUGGGGAGACUGCCUGGGAAUACCAGGUGCUGUAAGCU
This 120-nucleotide ribosomal RNA is filed under the name Scophthalmus maximus (turbot). Lineage: Eukaryota; Metazoa; Chordata; Actinopteri; Pleuronectiformes; Scophthalmidae. The record is from RNAcentral.